GAUAAACGCUGGCGGCGUGCUUAACACAUGCAAGUCGAACGAAGUUUUUCCUUCGGGAGCAACUUAGUGGCGGACGGGUGAGUAACGCGUGGGUAACCUGCCCUGUACAGGGGGACAACAGCUGGAAACGGCUGCUAAUACCGCAUAAGCACUUAGCACUGCAUGGUGCAUAGGGAAAAGGAGCAAUCCGGUACAGGAUGGACCCGCGUCUGAUUAGCCAGUUGGCAGGGUAACGGCCUACCAAAGCGACGAUCAGUAGCCGAUCUGAGAGGAUGUACGGCCACAUUGGGACUGAGACACGGCCCAGACUCCUACGGGAGGCAGCAGUGGGGAAUAUUGCACAAUGGAGGAAACUCUGAUGCAGCGACGCCGCGUGAGUGAAGAAGUAUUUCGGUAUGUAAAGCUCUAUCAGCAGGGAAGAAAAUGACGGUACCGGACUAAGAAGCACCGGCUAAAUACGUG
Molecule: ribosomal RNA, 462 nt
Filed under: uncultured bacterium
Lineage: Bacteria
Description: partial 16S ribosomal RNA
Rfam family: Bacterial small subunit ribosomal RNA
Source: RNAcentral